GAUGAACGCUGGCGGCGUGCCUAAUACAUGCAAGUCGAGCGAACAGACGAGGAGCUUGCUCCUCUGACGUUAGCGGCGGACGGGUGAGUAACACGUGGAUAACCUACCUAUAAGACUGGGAUAACUUCGGGAAACCGGAGCUAAUACCGGAUAAUAUAUUGAACCGCAUGGUUCAAUAUUGAAAUACGGUUUUGCUGUCACUUAUAGAUGGAUCCGCGCCGCAUUAGCUAGUUGGUAAGGUAACGGCUUACCAAGGCAACGAUGCGUAGCCGACCUGAGAGGGUGAUAGGACACACUGGAACUGAGACACGGUCCAGACUCCUAAGGGAGGCAGCAGUAGGGAAUCUUCAGCAAUGGGCGAAAGCUUGACGGAGCAACGCCGCGUGAGUGAUGAAGGUCUUCGGAUCGUAAAACUCUGUUAUUAGGGAAGAACAAAUGUGUAAGUAACUAUGCACGUCUUGACGGUACCUAAUCAGAAAGCCACGGCUAACUACGUG
This 497-nucleotide ribosomal RNA is filed under the name uncultured bacterium. RNAcentral's name for it is "partial 16S ribosomal RNA". It matches the Rfam family "Bacterial small subunit ribosomal RNA", at positions 28 to 507 of the family's 1533-position model. The record is from RNAcentral.